This 495-nucleotide ribosomal RNA is filed under the name uncultured bacterium. RNAcentral's name for it is "partial 16S ribosomal RNA". It matches the Rfam family "Bacterial small subunit ribosomal RNA", at positions 28 to 505 of the family's 1533-position model. The record is from RNAcentral.
GAUGAACGCUGGCGGCGUGCCUAAUACAUGCAAGUCGAGCGAACAGACGAGGAGCUUGCUCCUCUGACGUUAGCGGCGGACGGGUGAGUAACACGUGGAUAACCUACCUAUAAGACUGGGAUAACUUCGGGAAACCGGAGCUAAUACCGGAUAAUAUAUUGAACCGCAUGGUUCAAUAGUGAAAGACGGUUUUGCUGUCACUUAUAGAUGGAUCCGCGCCGCAUUAGCUAGUUGGUAAGGUAACGGCUUACCAAGGCAACGAUGCGUAGCCGACCUGAGAGGGUGACCGGCCACCCUGGAACUGAGACACGGUCCAGACUCCUACGGGAGGCAGCAGUAGGGAAUCUUCCGCAAUGGGCGAAAGCCUGACGGAGCAACGCCGCGUGAGUGAUGAAGGUCUUCGGAUCGUAAAACUCUGUUAUUAGGGAAGAACAAAUGUGUAAGUAACUAUGCACGUCUUGACGGUACCUAAUCAGAAAGCCCCGGCUACCUACG